GUGCCAGCAGCCGCGGUAAUACGGAGGGUGCAAGCGUUACUCGGAAUCACUGGGCGUAAAGCGCGCGCAGGCGGCCUUUUAAGUUGGAUGUGAAAGCCUAUGGCUCAACCAUAGAACUGCAUCCAAAACUAUUAGGCUAGAGUGUGGGAGAGGAAGAUGGAAUUAGUUGUGUAGGGGUAAAAUCCGUAGAGAUAACUAGGAAUACCAAAAGCGAAGGNAAUCUUCUGGAACAUNACUGACGCUGANGCNCGAAAGCGUGGGGAGCAAACANGANUANAUAC
This 281-nucleotide ribosomal RNA is filed under the name uncultured Sulfurovum sp. Its description in RNAcentral is "partial 16S ribosomal RNA". It matches the Rfam family "Bacterial small subunit ribosomal RNA", at positions 505 to 785 of the family's 1533-position model. Lineage: Bacteria; Pseudomonadati; Campylobacterota; Epsilonproteobacteria; Campylobacterales; Sulfurovaceae. The record is from RNAcentral.